This 486-nucleotide ribosomal RNA is filed under the name Triticum aestivum (bread wheat). RNAcentral's name for it is "partial small subunit ribosomal RNA". Lineage: Eukaryota; Viridiplantae; Streptophyta; Magnoliopsida; Poales; Poaceae. The record is from RNAcentral.
AUGAGCAUCCCGCGAGACUUCGGUGCCGCGACGGGCCUGUGCAUCAACCCCGACAAGUCUUCGAUCGCCCCCAUUUGGUGCGAAGAGAUCAACAUCCAGGAAGUCCUGCAGGGCUUCGGCAGAUCGACCGUGGCCUUCCCGUACCUGGGACUGCCAGUGACGCCGGGACACCUACGUCUCAUUCACUUGCCAUUCAUCGUCGACCGAAUCAAGGCACGGCUGGCAGGAUGGAAAGGCAGGCUGAUGCCGAUCACGGGCAGGCGGGUGCUCGUCAGGUGCAUGCUCAGCGCGAUGCCAGCUUUUUCGCUCACCGGCCGUUCUGUGGGCGCCAAAGAAACUUUUCAAGGAAGUGGACAAAUGCCAGAGGCGUUUCCUCUGUCGGAAGGACGAGGAGCUCAUAGGGAGCAGCUGCAACAUAAACUGGGCGACAGUGUGCUCGCCAACGGAGUACGGGGGUUUGGGUGUCCACGACCUCCAGCGUUUUAG